GAUGAAGAACGCAGCGAACUGCGAUAAGUAAUGUGAAUUGCAGAAUUCAGUGAAUCAUCGAGUCUUUGAACGCACAUUGCGCCCCCUGGCAUUCCGGGGGGCAUGCCUGUCCGAGCGUCAUUGCUGCCCUUCAAGCCCGGCUUGUGUGUUGGGUCGUCGUCCCCCCCGGGGGACGGGCCCGAAAGGCAGCGGCGGCACCGCGUCCGGUCCUCGAGCGUAUGGGGCUUUGUCACCCGCUCGAUUAGGGCCGGCCGGGUGCCAGCAGGCGUCUCCAACCUUCUAUUUUACCAGGUUGACCUCGGAUCAGGUAGGGAUACCCGCUGAACUUAAGCAUAUCAAUAAGCGGAGGA
Molecule: unclassified non-coding RNA, 350 nt
Filed under: soil metagenome
Description: partial contains 5.8S ribosomal RNA, internal transcribed spacer 2, and large subunit ribosomal RNA
Rfam family: 5.8S ribosomal RNA (bases 1-120)
Source: RNAcentral